UACGGUCCUGAGACAUGGAUGGAAAGAGAAAAAGAGAGAUUGCUGUAGCAAACAGUUGCAUUCAAUCACUGCAGUACAAAGCACUCUGCUAAAAAGCAUAUGUCAGGGCUUUUGUAGGGAAAAACUGCUGUAUUACAAUGAACAAACAACUAAUGAAAGCUAAUUACAAUGUUUUACAGCCACUCACAAUACAAUUACACUGAAUAAAAAAACAGCAAUGGUCAAGAGUCAUAUAUGGUUUUUCUUUUCCACAACCCUACCCUGUUCAGUCUAGUGUCCUUUACCCAGGUCUCUGAAAAUGACAAUGUUUUUGAACAUGGCCACAAUCUCUGAAUCCCAUAUUUAGCUGUGUGGAUGAUCUGGAAUCAGCUCCUGUCUAUGACGAUAAUUUCAGCAGGAUAUUCUAAAGCUGACCCGAGAUCAGUAGGUAAUGUGUUUUAAUGGCGAGUCACUGAGUGGCGAGCGGGAGUGAGGGAGUUCACUAUAGAUCAAUACUUGUCCUCUACUGCUAUAGGAUGAGCUGACACUGUGUUAAACAUCUCCAUCUGCACACUCACUGGACCAGCAUCAGUGUUAGAAAAUACACACAUCUCUCUCACUGUACUUUUUUUGUUCACUAUCUGUCAUCCAAAAAAGGGGAAAGAAGGGCUAACGCUAGACAGUUCUGGGGCAUGAUGAACACAAACGCUGCUAGAUAGAAUGAUUGUUAUAUAGAUAGAUUUUAUUUAUAAAUUCAAAACGAAGACAUCCAGGGGGAUGUGUGCUAAGGCAAUGCAAAGCAGUUACAGAAACAACUGUUGGUGAAGAAUGGAUAACAUUCAUGUGGUUAAAAAUUAAGGAUGCUGUUUUUUCCAGAUUGUAAUGAGCAACAUGGGAAAUGCAGUGUUUUAAAAGUGACAGCUGCAUGAUUUGAUGUUUCAAGAUUUAAGCUUGUGCACUAAUGUUUAUCAGAGAAAACACAGCUAAUACUUCUCAACCACACAUGUGAUGACUAAUUAUAUUUACUAUCUGAUAUAGUACUCAAUUACAUCACAUGCAGUAUACUAAUACAGUACCAUACACCAGUAGUUUUAAAGUCAUAGUUUUUCAGUUAUUUGUACUAUGCAUUUACAUGUGCCUCAAUCAUGUGCUGCUUUUUCAGAGCUGCUUUUACUUACAGCUUUCUGGUGUAGGACACCGAGUGCCUAGAGCUGCACUGGCAUAUUAUGCUCUAUCUAUAUCAGUACCCCUACAAUCGUGGUGCGUCUGCUCACCUUAAAUGACGCUGCAUAUUGGUUACCGUCUGCCGGGCCAUCGCCACCCUUGCCACCCCUUUACCCCCACUCUAAAGGAGGGUGUUCCGAUAAUAGACAUUGAAGGAGUGUAAUUUAUUAUUAAAGUUGUGAAAAACACAGAGUUCGCUGCAAGCAGUCAAAUUCUUACCUCUCCACACCUCCAAAUGACCUCACAACGAGAAAAAGUGGGAGUGAUUUGAAUUCCCAGUGAUUAAAUCCAAACCACGAUUGCAAAUUACACGUUAUAGGCCUAUAUAAAGAAUAUCUAAUCAGUGUGUGUAGCUGUUUACUGAAACCAAAACCAAACUGCAAUCUGAAUUACUUAAAUGAAUUCCAAUGAGAUGAGUAAUGAGAUAAUGAAAACACUCUGACACAGGUCAGGGCAUUCACUUACAAAUAAUAAUCCUGAUUUCUUCACCUUAAUCCUCUAUCUCACAGAUAAAACUUGAAAACUCAUUAAAAAAACUUUAGCAGUAACAAAGAAGCUUCUCACUGACUUGAGAGUGAAACUAAUCUUGAUUUCUAAGGGACAAUAAAACUGCAGCGACACCUUUCAGCUGUACGUGCUUUAAAAAUAAAGAUCAGCAGAUACUGCAACUGGACAAUACAGCACUAACACAACCAUGUCUGUUUUUUUUUUUUCCCAAAGUAUUUGUCCCUUCCUGGUUAGGGCUUUAAACCCUUUCUGAAGAUACCGUAAAUACUUCUCUGAAGGAUACCCUAAAUACGUAUGAAAUUCAGUUAAAGGAUAAUCUCACCUGGAUACUGUAGAUUUGUAGCUAAGAUCAUAAACACUGUCCUGUCAUAUUGUCUGCUCAUAUUGAGCAUCCAUUCAGCACAUUUCUGUUAAGCUGCUUUGGCAAUGUCUAUUUUAUCUGCACAGUUAAAGCUGAAAGGUAUGAAGUAUGUGUGUGUGUGUGUGUGUGUUGUUACUUAUGCUAAUGCACAUGAAUUCUCUCUCUCUGUAACACACACUCUCUCUAACUCUCAUUCCAGGUCCUGGAGCUGAAGUCAGCAUAUUUUUCUGCCUCUUUUGCUGUCUCUGCAGUGAGCUUUAUCCAGCAUGUCUGCAUGUCUUGGGCUUUCAGCCUGGUCACAUGAUAUGAAAUCAUCUGAACCAAAGCAGACAAUUAAAGCAGACAUAUCCACACAUACACAAACACACACAUACACACACACGCUGAGCCGUCAUUUCAAAUCUAAUCACCAAAGCCUCCAGACAAGUGGAAGAAAAGACGUCUGUAAUUCAUGUUUAAAUUCACUAAACACACAUAUACACACACGUUUUUAUUCUGUACAGUGUCUCACAAAACCAAAUGUUAUUAUUAUAGUAACGUGGACAAAAUAUAGUCUAAACUAGCAGUGAUGUUGCACCUGAUACACUCACGUGGGUACCACACACACCACCAUGACAUCAUCACUGCUGUACAGAAAAUGAUCCACCACCCAAAUGUCUGUUCUGCAGUGAUCUAAUGCUGAAAUUUUUGGUUUGUUUGCUCUUUGAUUUGGUUUGUUUUCACUCUGCACACAGGUUAGUUGAAGGGCGUGUAGGACUGAAAACGCCCUCGUAUAACUCUUUCAUUCAUUGGUCAGAAAUACGGCAAAAUCCAGGAGUAAACAAAACUUCACCAAAUAACACAUGGCAUUUCUGCAGCACUACAGCUCUAGCGUUCUCCUGGAAGCGGACCGAGAACACUUUGCUGAUAUGCAUUUGGACCCGAGUGGGAACGAUCUGUUCUCACUUGCUUAAAGAACUGCACCCAGGGGGAGAAGACAUCAGCGUCCUAUUCAAACCGGCUAAACACUGCAUAUGUACGCAUCCGAGUGAAGAGCGUCUCUGUUUCUACUUCCUGUAGCUCGCAGUGUUUACAGAGCCUCCGUUCUUUGGGUUUGGCAAGUUGGAGUGACUGUUUUUCAGACCAGUUACCCUUCAAAUCACAACAAACUGUACCGCUGCCUGUAAAUGAAUAAUACAAACUUUAUAUACUACAUUUUGAAUGCACCGAUCACACCCAGGUAAUAUUACACUGUAGGCUGUCUUUCCGUGUCUCGGGUGUAGUACUCUUGUCUUUUGUAUCUGUAAUAUGUCUUUCAGCAGGUUAUGUGUGUAUAGUGUACCAUUAAAAAUGAUUUAAGGCAGGGGGUUUCUCAAACUUUUUGUAUCUAGGGAUUCCAGAUAUAAUUUAGAUAGAUAGAUAGAUAGAUAGAUAGAUAGAUAGGCUAAUUGAUCCUGAGAGAAAUUGCAGCAUUACAGUGGUAGUAAAAAUAAACUUAUUUUUGCACAACAUACAGAUAGUCCUGUUAUAAAAUAAACACAGUAAAAACAAGGCACCUAAAUGUUGUGCCUUUUCUAUAUAACUGAGUGUGUAUAACUAAUAUAAUAAUAACAGAAUCAUAAAUUAUUAUUUUUUUAAAAAUGGAAACAUGCUUCCUUCCUUCCUUAAAACAGAAAAACUCGACAAUGUGACCAGCUCUAUAAAACAAAAUUAAUAUCAUAACGAAUCUAGCUGAAAGAAUUGAAUGUAAAUGUACAGUGAGCAUGUGCAGCUUUACCUGUACAUCUUCCAGCAAUUUCCACUGUCAGGUUUGGCAGUAAUGAUGGUGUGGCUCACACACAGCGUGGGUUUACUACGGAGCUCAGUGCCAAAGGCUUUGGUAAUGUUGCAGCUGGUAAUUAGUUCAAUUGUAUGUGUUUAGAGCCAGAGUGACAGUUUCUGCUGUAAGAGCUCAGGCUUAAAAUCGCAGCUGUUUACUCUGUAAGUGUGAGACAGCAUGUUGUUUAGGCACGUACACAUGCAGUGUGAUGCUGUGGCCCUCACUCUGAUAUUGCUAUUUUUAAUAUCAUGCCAUGUUAGGAUUUAUAUCUCAAUCAACUUACAGUAGUGCUGUUCAGCCCCCCGGAUGUUCACAUCAACUAAAUAUAGUGGAGCUCUGCCCGCUGAGUUUCCUCAAAUUUUCCCCUGAUAGAAAUUACACUUAUUGAGGUAUGAAGUUGUAAAUGCAUAA
Pangasianodon hypophthalmus (striped catfish) is the source of this 4280-nucleotide long non-coding RNA. RefSeq lists it as uncharacterized. The transcript is spliced from 4 exons. Lineage: Eukaryota; Metazoa; Chordata; Actinopteri; Siluriformes; Pangasiidae. The record is from RefSeq and is a predicted model, not a curated record.